This 497-nucleotide ribosomal RNA is filed under the name uncultured bacterium. RNAcentral describes it as "partial 16S ribosomal RNA". It matches the Rfam family "Bacterial small subunit ribosomal RNA", at positions 27 to 507 of the family's 1533-position model. The record is from RNAcentral.
GGGGGGGGGGGGGGGGGGGGGGGGGGGGGGGGGGGGGGGGGGGGGGGGGGGGGGCGGGCUGCUCUGAGGUUGGCGGCGGAGGGGGGAGUAACGCGUGGAUAACCUACCUAUAAGACUGGGAUAACUUCGGGAAACCGGAGCUAAUACCGGAUAAUAUAUUGAACCGCAUGGUUCAAUAGUGAAAGACGGUUUUGCUGUCACUUAUAGCUGGAUCCGCGCCGCAUUAGCUAGUUGGUAAGGUAACGGCUUACCAAGGCAACGAUGCGUAGCCGACCUGAGAGGGUGAUCGGCCACACUGGAACUGAGACACGGUCCAGACUCCUACGGGAGGCAGCAGUAGGGAAUCUUCCGCAAUGGGCGAAAGCCUGACGGAGCAACGCCGCGUGAGUGAUGAAGGUCUUCGGAUCGUAAAACUCUGUUAUUAGGGAAGAACAAAUGUGUAAGUAACUAUGCACGUCUUGACGGUACCUAAUCAGAAAGCCACGGCUAACUACGUG